Molecule: non-coding RNA, 2134 nt
Organism: Arachis ipaensis
Lineage: Eukaryota; Viridiplantae; Streptophyta; Magnoliopsida; Fabales; Fabaceae
Source: RefSeq, a predicted model, not a curated record
AAUCAGAAACACAAUUUUAUUCUACAAAUGAAUUUUUUGCGUCAAAGGGAGCAACACACAGCAACCCACCAAUUCAAACAGUAGUAGCACUCAAUUACUCUCUCCCUCUCUAGCGAUCCCACAGCCGAGUUGAACAACCCUCAUUCUCCGCUGCCGGCGUCACGGUUGCGCCACUGUCACUUCGUUUGCUCACGCCGCCGUCGCGUUCUGUUGCUGCCGUGCCGCUGUCGCUCCCCGCCAUCGCUCCUCUUGCUCACGCCGCCGUCGCUCCUUCUCUCUGUUGCCGCCCUCGCUCCUCCUACUUUGGUCCUUCUCCGAUCUCUCUCCAUCAAGCUCAUAAGAACCAGGCAAUGUUUUUUGAUUGUUACUUAACUCUUUCCAAAUCCAACUUCAGUUUCAUUUGAAAAUUCCUAUUUCAGGUAUAAACUUGACCUAAUUGUAAUAUCCUGUUCUCUAAAUUUGAAGAGAAUAUAUAAUAUAUGUUGCGAAAUCGAUAAUUUAGGUUAGGUCAAGAGAGACCAUAGCUUUUGCAUCUCUUGAAGUAUUGAGUCCUUUACAAUUGAGCCUGAAGUAAGGAGAAUCGAAAGACUCAAAUCUCAUUCGUCACACAAAAUCUAGGAUGAAGAUCAAUGAUUUUCUGAAGUGAUUUUGAAUUUUUGAUAUACUUGCUGCUUUGGUACAAGGAACAAGAAAAUGGGAGUUCAAAAGUGAAUGUAGCAGUGCUAGUUAUCUGUAAUUUAUGGAGUUUGGAUCCUUGGAAGGUCCUCUUCCAUCAAAGCUCUUCAGCGUUCCUCAAAUUCAGCAAGUGAAACUGAGAAAAGAACCCCAACAUGACAACUUGAAUCGGCUCGAUCCACCGCGUAUGUUCUCAGUUAUUGUCACCAGCAUGCAAAAACUUGCAAUUGUAAUUGUAAUUAAUUAUGAUUAUGAUGUGUGAUUUGAUCGAUCCUGGUAGGUUGCUUGAAGCUUCUGCCAGUUGAAGAACUUGAACACCUUGAUAUUCAUGUGACAGAAGACUCUAAUGGCCCUGUUAACCAGGUUCUAUAUGCUUCAGAGGGCGAGUCUUCUUUUGUAGGACGGAAUGCUACCUUUUCUCUUGCGAGAUUUAAUUUGUUCACUGGAAAUCAAACAUUAGAGCAGAGAGAUACAAGUUUUGAGAUUAAGGAAUCUAUGAUGGUACAUUGUGGUUUCUACAGUUUAAAUGGAGGGUUUAAGAUAUCUGAUGAAGAUAAAACUUAUAUGCAAGCUUGCAAAGUUGUGGUUUCUACUUGUGCAUUUGGUGGUGGAGAUGAUCUCUAUCAACCUAUUGGGAUGUUAGAGGCCUCACUUAAGAAGUGGUAUGCAGGUCUGCUACUUAGCAUUCUGGGAUGAAAUCACCUUAAGAGCACAGGAAUUGGCAGACCACCGAAUUGGCAUUCUUCAAUGGUGAUGAUUAUCUUCAAGUGCAACUAGCUUUGUUUCCUCCUUUAGGACAAUAUUUCAAUAGGAUUGAAGUUCAAAGAAUUGGGUUUGAUUUGACCAACCAAACUUACAAGCCUCCUAAGGAGUUUGGACCUUAUUACUUCAUUACAUUCCCUUAUGCUUUCCCAGAUUCUAACAAAGGAAACUCUCUUAGCACUGGUGCUAUUAUUGGUAUAGCAGUAGGCUCAUCAGUUGUGUUUCUGAGCCUCAAAGCUUUAGCAGUAUAUGCAAUCCUGCAAAAGAAGUGCGCGGAGCGAGCCAUAGGAUUAAGCAAAUCUUUUGCAUCUUGGGCACCAAGUGAAAAGGAUAGUGGAGGUGCACCACAAUUAAAGGGUGCAAGAUGGUUCUCAUAUGAUGAACUAAAAAAGAGCACUAGUAAUUUCUCUGAAAUUAGGAUUUGGUGGUUAUGAAAAGGUGUACAAAGGGGUGCUUCCUAAUGGAAAAAUCGUCGCGAUCAAGCAAGCUCAGCAAGGAUCAAUGCAAGGAGGCCUAGAAUUCAAAACUGAAAUUGAGUUGCUUUCAAGAAUUCAUCACAAUGUAUUAUUAGUGGAUUGCAAUUUAAACGAAUAUAAAUAUAAGUUUAGUUAUUUAUCGUGUCUUGAAUCUUUAUGUUAGAGGAUUAUUUAUUAUUUUGAUAAGUUUGUAAACUCAUUAUCUAAUAUUUAAUAUCAAU